Molecule: ribosomal RNA, 253 nt
Filed under: uncultured bacterium
Lineage: Bacteria
Description: partial 16S ribosomal RNA
Rfam family: Bacterial small subunit ribosomal RNA
Source: RNAcentral
GACAGAGGGUGCAAACGUUGCUCGGAAUUACUGGGCGUAAAGCGCGUGUAGGUGGAUUGGUGUGUCAGAUGUGAAAGCCCUGGGCUCAACCCAGGAAUUGCACCUGAAACUACCAGUCUUGAGUGGUGGAGAGGGAAGUGGAAUUCCUGGUGUAGAGGUGAAAUUCGUAGAUAUCAGGAGGAACACCAGUGGCGAAGGCGGCUUCCUGGACACCAACUGACGCUGAGACGCGAAAGCGUGGGGAGCAAACAGG